GACGAACGCUGGCGGCGUGCUUAACACAUGCAAGUCGAACGAGAAUCUAUGGAUCGAGGAUUCGUCCAAGUGAAGUAGAGGACAGUGGCGGACGGGUGAGUAACGCGUGAGGAACCUGCCUUUCAGAGGGGGACAACGAGUUAGGAAACGACUGACUAAUACCGCAUGACACAUAGAGAUCGCAGUUGGUUUUUAUGUACAAAGUAUUUAUCGCUAGAAAGAUGGCCUCGCGUCUGAUUAGCUGGUU
Molecule: ribosomal RNA, 247 nt
Filed under: uncultured bacterium
Lineage: Bacteria
Description: partial 16S ribosomal RNA
Rfam family: Bacterial small subunit ribosomal RNA
Source: RNAcentral